This 38-nucleotide transfer RNA is filed under the name Moniliophthora perniciosa FA553. RNAcentral's name for it is "tRNA-Gly". Lineage: Eukaryota; Fungi; Basidiomycota; Agaricomycetes; Agaricales; Marasmiaceae. The record is from RNAcentral.
GCUCAAGUGGUCUAACGGUUAUGAUGCGACCUUCCCAU